Molecule: ribosomal RNA, 489 nt
Filed under: uncultured bacterium
Lineage: Bacteria
Description: bacterial SSU rRNA
Rfam family: Bacterial small subunit ribosomal RNA
Source: RNAcentral
GAUGAACGCUAGCGACAGGCCUAACACAUGCAAGUCGAGGGGCAGCACAAGGAGCAAUCUGAGGUGGCGACCGGCGCACGGGUGAGUAACACGUAUGCAACCUACCUGUAAGAGGGGAAUAACCCGUUGAAAAACGGACUAAUACCGCAUAACACUGUAGAACCGCAUGGUUUGACAGUUAAACAUUUAUGGCUUACAGAUGGGCAUGCGCAUGAUUAGCUAGUUGGUGAGGUAACGGCUCACCAAGGCAACGAUCAUUAGGGGUUCUGAGAGGAAGGUCCCCCACACUGGUACUGAGACACGGACCAGACUCCUACGGGAGGCAGCAGUGAGGAAUAUUGGUCAAUGGGCGAGAGCCUGAACCAGCCAAGUCGCGUGAAGGAUGAAGGUUUUAUGAAUUGUAAACUUCUUUUGCAGGGGAAUAAAGUGUCCGACGUGUCGGAUUUUGUAUGUACUCUGCGAAUAAGGAUCGGCUAACUCCGUGCCAGC